RNAcentral lists this ribosomal RNA (408 nucleotides) under uncultured bacterium. Its description in RNAcentral is "bacterial SSU rRNA". It matches the Rfam family "Bacterial small subunit ribosomal RNA", at positions 355 to 772 of the family's 1533-position model. The record is from RNAcentral.
UGGGGAAUUGUUCACAAUGGGCGCAAGCCUGAUGACGCAACGCCGCGUGGGGGAUGAAGGCCUUUCAGGUCGUAAACCCCUUUCGGCAGGGACGAAGCGAUCUCGUGACGGUACCUGCAGAAGAAGCCUCGGCUAACUACGUGCCAGCAGCCGCGGUAACACGUAGGAGGCGAGCGUUGUCCGGAAUCAUUGGGCGUAGAGAGCGCGCAGGCGGCUUGGCAAGUCGGGUGUGAAAUCCCGGGGCUCAACCCCGGGACUGCAUUCGAUACUGUCAGGCUAGAGGUAGGUAGGGGAGAUCGGAAUUCCUGGUGUAGCGGUGAAAUGCGCAGAUAUCAGGAGGAACACCGGUGGCGAAGGCGGAUCUCUGGGCCUUACCUGACGCUCAGGCGCGAAAGCUAGGGGAGCGAA